Molecule: ribosomal RNA, 495 nt
Filed under: uncultured bacterium
Lineage: Bacteria
Description: partial 16S ribosomal RNA
Rfam family: Bacterial small subunit ribosomal RNA
Source: RNAcentral
GACGAACGCUGGCGGCGUGCCUAAUACAUGCAAGUAGAACGCUGAAGGAGGAGCUUGCUUCUCUGGAUGAGUUGCGAACGGGUGAGUAACGCGUAGGUAACCUGCCUGGUAGCGGGGGAUAACUAUUGGAAACGAUAGCUAAUACCGCAUAAUAGUAGAUGUUGCAUGACAUUUGCUUAAAAGGUGCAAUUGCAUCACUACCAGAUGGACCUGCGUUGUAUUAGCUAGUUGGUGGGGUAACGGCUCACCAAGGCGACGAUACAUAGCCGACCUGAGAGGGUGAUCGGCCACACUGGGACUGAGACACGGCCCAGACUCCUACGGGAGGCAGCAGUAGGGAAUCUUCGGCAAUGGACGGAAGUCUGACCGAGCAACGCCGCGUGAGUGAAGAAGGUUGUCGGAUCGUAAAGCUCUGUUGUAAGAGAAGAACGAGUGUGAGAGUGGAAAGUUCACACUGUGACGGUAUCUUACCAGAAAGGGACGGCUAGCUACGUG